RNAcentral lists this long non-coding RNA (432 nucleotides) under Citrus maxima (pomelo). Its description in RNAcentral is "long non-coding RNA (CMAX_LNC000598)". The record is from RNAcentral. Lineage: Eukaryota; Viridiplantae; Streptophyta; Magnoliopsida; Sapindales; Rutaceae.
AAAACGACAGCACACAAACAGGGCAUCAAAGCUUGUAAGUCUGAUAAAAUCUUCCGUAAAACACGGACCCUUACUAAGUGGCAAUAGCCAAUAGGAGCCUAAGUUUUAGUUUCCUCAAAAAUAGUAAUAGUAAUAGUAAUGAUAAUGAUAACACGUGCUUGAUUAUUAAUAGCAAAACAAAAGGGUCAUAAUGGCUGGCUUUGCGAAGUGAAGAAGCAAAUUAAACGGACAAAAGUGUCCAUAAUCAUCAAGAAAAGAACAUCACCGGAUCACCCAUUUGUGCUUCGUAACGUGUAAUGUUGUCGGUUGUAUGAAAAAUAUCUGAAUGACUGAAUCCGCGCUCCGCAAAGUGUUUGAUAUUGGCGUGGUCUGGUGGGAAUAUAAAGGCAGCAAGCUUUUGCCUCUUGGGAUACUUGGAGGGAUGAAGAAUUA